Molecule: unclassified non-coding RNA, 351 nt
Filed under: soil metagenome
Description: partial contains 5.8S ribosomal RNA, internal transcribed spacer 2, and large subunit ribosomal RNA
Rfam family: 5.8S ribosomal RNA (bases 1-119)
Source: RNAcentral
GAUGAAGAACGUAGCGAAAUGCGAUAAGUAAUGUGAAUUGCAGAAUUCAGUGAAUCAUCGAAUCUUUGAACGCACAUUGCGCCGCCAGUAUUCUGGCGGGCAUGCCUGUUCGAGCGUCAUUACAACCCUCAGGCCCCCGGGCCUGGCGUUGGGGAUCGGCGGAGCCCCCCGUGGGCACACGCCGUCCCCCAAAUGCAGUGGCGGUCCCGCCGCAGCUUCCAUCGCGUAGUAGCUAACACCUCGCGACUGGAGAGCGGCGCGGCCACGCCGUAAAACACCCAACUCUUCUGAAGUUGACCUCGAAUCAGGUAGGAAUACCCGCUGAACUUAAGCAUAUCAAUAAGCGGAGGA